Long non-coding RNA from Felis catus (domestic cat), 730 nucleotides. RefSeq lists it as uncharacterized. The transcript is spliced from 4 exons. The record is from RefSeq and is a predicted model, not a curated record. Lineage: Eukaryota; Metazoa; Chordata; Mammalia; Carnivora; Felidae.
UCCCGCAGAUUAGGCUCUGGUUAACUAGUUCCCCCUGAGCUCAGGCCUUGUUUAGAACGGAGUGCUCUGGUGUGUUUCCGAACUGUUCCUUUCCCCGUUCCUCUGCAUGAAGGGAUUUUUCUCCGGUAUUUAUGGUGGGAAUCUGGUGGAGCUUCCGGAGGUCAGAAUGAACUGGAACACUAUUAGAACUUCAUCUUGGUGGUCUGACCUAAAAUGGAAAUGCAUGUACCCGUGCUAACAAGUUUGCAUUACUUCUGGGGACUACAUCAUGCUUCCAGGAUUGUUUUUCAUCAUGACUGUGCCUCAUUGCCUUUGUAUUCCUGGAAAACAUGGAGUUCCCGAUGAAGUAAAAGUGAGCUCUGCACAUGAGGUGGAAAUCAUGAUACAUGAGCCUGACUGCUGACUACAGACAUCCUGCAUUAAGGUUCUCAAUGGUGAAGGUUGGAGGAAAGUAACAUUCUCAUUGCCGAAGAUGGGAAGUUGAAGCAGAGGAAGAUCUGUACUCACAAGCCUUAUGAAACUAGCCCUUAUCUUCCUAGUCACCUGUGACACUAACUGCCCCAGCCCAAGCCCUUUGAUGUGUCAUGUUCUCAUAAUGUAAACUCUUUGUCCAGUUCAUUAUUUAAACAUUCAACUCUAACUGGGUCUUUGGGUCUUCAUUUCCUUAUGAGGGCUCCCAUGUAAUGCAAAACUUACAUUUAAUAAAUGUGUAUGUUUUUCUCACCUUAAA